Molecule: ribosomal RNA, 591 nt
Filed under: uncultured bacterium
Lineage: Bacteria
Description: bacterial SSU rRNA
Rfam family: Bacterial small subunit ribosomal RNA
Source: RNAcentral
CCUACGGGAGGCAGCAGUGGGGAAUUUUCCGCAAUGGGCGAAAGCCUGACGGAGCAAUACCGCGUGAGGGAUGAAGGCUCUUGGGUCGUAAACCUCUUUUCUCAAGGAAGAUAAUGACGGUACUUGAGGAAUCAGCAUCGGCUAACUCCGUGCCAGCAGCCGCGGUAAUACGGAGGAUGCAAGCGUUAUCCGGAAUGAUUGGGCGUAAAGCGUCCGCAGGUGGUUUUGUAAGUCUGCUGUUAAAGCGUCAUGCUCAACAUGAUUAAGGCGGUGGAAACUACAAGACUAGAGUGCGUUAGGGGUGAAGGGAAUUCCUGGUGUAGCGGUGAAAUGCGUAGAGAUCAGGAAGAACACCGGUGGCGAAGGCGCUUCACUAUGCCGCAACUGACACUGAGGGACGAAAGCUAGGGGAGCGAAUGGGAUUAGAUACCCCAGUAGUCCUAGCCGUAAACGAUGGACACUAGGUGUUGCUUGUAUCGACCCGAGCAGUGCCGUAGCCAACGCGUUAAGUGUCCCGCCUGGGGAGUACGCACGCAAGUGUGAAACUCAAAGGAAUUGACGGCUGAGAGNGCGAGCGACACGAGGGAGAGG